GACGAACGCUGGCGGCGUGCUUAACACAUGCAAGUCGAACGGAAAGGCCCUGCUUUUGUGGGGUGCUCGAGUGGCGAACGGGUGAGUAACACGUGAGUAACCUGCCCUUGACUUUGGGAUAACUUCAGGAAACUGGGGCUAAUACCGGAUAGGAGCUCCUGCUGCAUGGUGGGGGUUGGAAAGUUUCGGCGGUUGGGGAUGGACUCGCGGCUUAUCAGCUUGUUGGUGGGGUAGUGGCUUACCAAGGCUUUGACGGGUAGCCGGCCUGAGAGGGUGACCGGCAACAUUGGGACUGAGAUAAGGCCAAGACUCCUACGGGAGGAAGCAGUGGGGAAUAUUGAACAAUGGGCGGAAGCCUGAUGAAACAACGCCGCGUGCGGGAUGACGGCCUUCGGGUUGUAAACCGCUUUCGCCUGUGACGAAGCGUGAGUGACGGUAAUGGGUAAAGAAGCACCGGCUAACUACGUG
RNAcentral lists this ribosomal RNA (468 nucleotides) under uncultured bacterium. RNAcentral's name for it is "partial 16S ribosomal RNA". It matches the Rfam family "Bacterial small subunit ribosomal RNA", at positions 28 to 507 of the family's 1533-position model. The record is from RNAcentral.